This 534-nucleotide ribosomal RNA is filed under the name Cladosporium sp. PIMO_16.2. RNAcentral describes it as "eukaryotic LSU rRNA". The stretch from base 170 to 323 matches the Rfam family "5.8S ribosomal RNA". Lineage: Eukaryota; Fungi; Ascomycota; Dothideomycetes; Cladosporiales; Cladosporiaceae. The record is from RNAcentral.
CGGAGGGAUCAUUACAAGAACGCCCGGGCUUCGGCCUGGUUAUUCAUAACCCUUUGUUGUCCGACUCUGUUGCCUCCGGGGCGACCCUGCCUUCGGGCGGGGGCUCCGGGUGGACACUUCAAACUCUUGCGUAACUUUGCAGUCUGAGUAAACUUAAUUAAUAAAUUAAAACUUUUAACAACGGAUCUCUUGGUUCUGGCAUCGAUGAAGAACGCAGCGAAAUGCGAUAAGUAAUGUGAAUUGCAGAAUUCAGUGAAUCAUCGAAUCUUUGAACGCACAUUGCGCCCCCUGGUAUUCCGGGGGGCAUGCCUGUUCGAGCGUCAUUUCACCACUCAAGCCUCGCUUGGUAUUGGGCAACGCGGUCCGCCGCGUGCCUCAAAUCGUCCGGCUGGGUCUUCUGUCCCCUAAGCGUUGUGGAAACUAUUCGCUAAAGGGUGUUCGGGAGGCUACGCCGUAAAACAACCCCAUUUCUAAGGUUGACCUCGGAUCAGGUAGGGAUACCCGCUGAACUUAAGCAUAUCAAUAAGCGGAGGA